RNAcentral lists this unclassified non-coding RNA (2141 nucleotides) under Leishmania donovani. RNAcentral describes it as "gene:LdHU3.35.6110(CDS-product:PHD-zinc-finger_li ke_domain/PHD-like_zinc-binding_domain_containing_protein_p utative)". Lineage: Eukaryota; Euglenozoa; Kinetoplastea; Trypanosomatida; Trypanosomatidae. The record is from RNAcentral.
AGAAAGCUAAGUAACCGAGUGGCCCCCUGCAGUCUGCUCUUAUCCGCAGAAACCGGAGAAGGGAAUGGGCGCUACACAAACGCAUACGCUUACCAACAACUUUCAACCAUAUAUAUAUAUAUAUAUAUAUAUAUACAUAUAUACUCAUAGAUGCAUGCAAGAACGUGCGCCUCUGCCUCAUUUACAUGAGCAUGCCCAACGGCAAUUGCACCGGCGGAUUGCAUCUGUUAUCGCUGUCGUGAGCAUUCACGUACUCACAUAUUGAUGUGCCUCCGUCGGCACCAUGUCGAGGGCAGUCAAGCCAGUGAAGCGAGUGACCUUUGGCCCGGUGACAUACUUCUCGGCCCCUCUCAUCGAAGCCUCACAAGGCUCAGACUCACAUGAAAGCAGCCGUCUCGUAGAUGCGCUGGCGCUGCGCCAGCGCGUGUCGAGGCCAGCGACAGUGGCGAUCGUCGCUUCUGGGGCAGCGCCGCCCCUACAGAAUGAAGUGGACGGGCUCCUCAGGGCCGGAGAGCUGGAGGAGUACGCGGCGCAGCCAACGCUGUUCCUCGGCGCAGCCGUGGACAAACCUCAUGCAGCACUGUCGUCUGUCCAACAGGCCGCUAAUGUCGCCACUGAAGACAACUGGGAGGGAGGCGACACGGAGGACCAGACGCCGGUGUCACAUCCGCGCGCGACUCCCGCCACCUCAUCGGUGACUCGACAGGAGUCGUCCGACAACGAAGCGUACGACACACCGGUGGAGAGCAGGCCUGCCACACGGCGCCAUCUGAUGCGUGCGGCAAGGCUAGACGGUGCGGGGACCCGUGAACCGCCACCGUCGAUUUUGGAAAAGUCGCCUACGCUUUCGCAGCUGGUGUCCGCAGUGGACGACGUCCUUGGCGGCUCCCAGCGCACCCCACGCAGUCCUUUGGCUGCUUCCUCCUCUGCCUUUGCUCCUCGAGGCAGCUGCUAUUCAACGGAGGCCGCAGCGGAACGAUCAAGCACGACGAACUCUUUUCCGCCGACGCCAAUGAGUCUGGCAAAGGUGCAAAAGACCGACGCAUAUGACACGAGAGAAGCCGGUGGAUGCGCCGACCCACUGCUCGCGGCGAGGUGCAUGCUCCACCACCGGGAAGGAGACGAGAGCAUCACCGCAAGCGGGUCGGCCGUGGCGCUGAUUGUGCCCCAUAACGCAAGUGACAAGGUGCACCCAUCCUUCUGCGUCUUCUGCGGCAUUGGUGCGAACUGCGGGAAUGCUCACGAGACACUUCCACUCUGCUUCUCUGACGACAUCGCGUAUCACACGGCGUGUGCCCUCUGGUGUCCAGAGGUCUUCUACGACAUCGAACUCGGCACACUGAAAGGCAUUGCAGACGCGGCGCACCGAGCUCGCCUUAUCAAGUGCGCGUGGUGCCGCCAACCAGGAGCGGGGGUCGGCUGCGCCUGGCCAACGUGUCAGCUGAGCUUUCACGUCCCUUGCGCGGUAAAAGCGCGGGCGUCGAUUAAUGUGCAGGCAUUUGUGCUCUACUGUCCAGCCCAUAGAUCAGCCACCGUCAGCAGAACUGCGGCAGAUCAGCUUGGGCCCCCAGGCGGCGAGGCGGCUCUGAAGAGGACGAAGGUUGAAGAGCGCCCUGGCGCCUCUCGCUUCUUCUGAGGAGCAGGCGCGACGAGCAUACGAGUUGUCUUUGGAGCCAGCACCGACGCCUUUCUCCUCCGCUACGAUGUGCAAACCGGCAAGAAUGCGGUACAACGCCGCUUUCAGAGGUAGACGCCGUUCGUCUUUUUCACGCCUGCCCUACCUGGGAGGACUGCCACAAUCCCAAGCCAGUUUUGAAAGCAAACAGCACCACUGCUGCGGAAUCGCGAGAAAGGCGUCAAUGAAAGCGAGAGGCCCUCUAUCGACGCUCACGAAGAGUCUCCAACGACUUUCCUCCUUCUGCUGUCGUGUUUUCUUUUUCUUUCGUGUCUGUGCACCUUGCCACAUCGGGGUACACGUCUGCCUGCACGCACCUCUCCCACAAUGCACGGGUGUCUUCUCUCCGUGUCUUUCAUCAGCAUAAAAUGUGCUUGCAUCUGCGCCUCGUAUUUGAUCAGCCGUCUCUCUAUUUCUCAUCUGCUCCUUUUGUUUCUCUUGCUCCUUCGUCGGCCAUCGAUUUCAG